AGUGAACGCUGGCGGCGUGCUUAACACAUGCAAGUCGAACGAGAACGGAUUAUAGCUUGCUAUAAUUGUCAGCUAAGUGGCGCACGGGUGAGUAAUGUAUAGGUAAUAUGCCUCUUACUAAGGGAUAACAAUUGGAAACGAUUGCUAAUACCUUAUACUCCUUAUUAACCUAAGUUAAUAAGGGAAAGAUUUAUUGGUAAGAGAUUAGCCUGUAUUGUAUCAGUUAGUUGGUGGGGUAAUGGCCUACCAAGACUAUGACACAUAACUGGUUUGAGAGGAUGAUCAGUCACACUGGAACUGAGACACGGUCCAGACUCCUACGGGAGGCAGCAGUGGGGAAUAUUGCACAAUGGACGAAAGUCUGAUGCAGCAACGCCGCGUGGAGGAUGACACAUUUCGG
Molecule: ribosomal RNA, 400 nt
Filed under: uncultured Campylobacterota bacterium
Lineage: Bacteria; Pseudomonadati; Campylobacterota
Description: bacterial SSU rRNA
Rfam family: Bacterial small subunit ribosomal RNA
Source: RNAcentral